GACGACCUACGGGAGGCAGCAGUGGGGAAUAUUGGGCAAUGGGCGAAAGCCUGACCCAGCGACGCCGCGUGAGGGAAGAAGGUCUUCGGAUUGUAAACCUCUUUCAGCAGGGAAGAAGAAAGUGACGGUACCUGCAGAAGAAGUCACGGCUAACUACGUGCCGGCAGCCGCGGUAAUACGUAGGUGGCGAGCGUUAUCCGGAAUUACUGGGUGUAAAGGGUGUGUAGGCGGGAGUGCAAGUCAGACGUGAAAACUAUGGGCUCAACCCAUAACGGGCGUUUGAAACUUUGCUUCUUGAGAGUGGG
RNAcentral lists this ribosomal RNA (305 nucleotides) under uncultured bacterium. Its description in RNAcentral is "bacterial SSU rRNA". It matches the Rfam family "Bacterial small subunit ribosomal RNA", at positions 334 to 652 of the family's 1533-position model. The record is from RNAcentral.